GGUUGAAGGUUGGGUAACACUAACUGGAGGACCGAACCGACUAAUGUUGAAAAAUUAGCGGAUGACCUGUGGCUGGGGGUGAAAGGCCAAUCAAACCGGGAGAUAGCUGGUUCUCCCCGAAAGCUAUUUAGGUAGCGCCUCGUGAAUUCAUCUCCGGGGGUAGAGCACUGUUUCGGCUAGGGGGCCAUCCCGGCUUACCAACCCGAUGCAAACUGCGAAUACCGGAGAAUGUUAUCACGGGAGACACACGGCGGGUGCUAACGUCCGUCGUGAAGAGGGAAACAACCCAGACCGCCAGCUAAGGUCCCAAAGUCAUGGUUAAGUGGGAAACGAUGUGGGAAGGCCCAGACAGCCAGGAUGUUGGCUUAGAAGCAGCCAUCAUUUAAAGAAAGCGUAAUAGCUCACUGGUCGAGUCGGCCUGCGCGGAAGAUGUAACGGGGCUAAACCAUGCACCGAAGCUGCGGCAGCGAACGUAUCACCCAAGACAACUUUGCGGAGUUGACGAUUGACGGAGCGAAGCGACGUCAAAGCGUUCAUUAAAGUCGAGUUGGCUUAGGGAUACGUUCGUUGGGUAGGGGAGCGUUCUGUAAGCCUGUGAAGGUGGCCUGUGAGGGUUGCUGGAGGUAUCAGAAGUGCGAAUGCUGACAUAAGUAACGAUAAAGCGGGUGAAAAGCCCGCUCGCCGGAAGACCAAGGGUUCCUGUCCAACGUUAAUCGGGGCAGGGUGAGUCGACCCCUAAGGCGAGGCCGAAAGGCGUAGUCGAUGGGAAACGGGUUAAUAUUCCCGUACUUGGUGUUACUGCGAAGGGGGGACGGAGAAGGCUAUGUUGGCCGGGCGACGGUUGUCCCGGUUUAAGCGUGUAGGUGUGUGUUCCAGGUAAAUCCGGUUCACUUUAACACUGAGGCGUGAUGACGAGGCACUACGGUGCUGAAGCAACAAAUGCCCUGCUUCCAGGAAAAGCCUCUAAGCAUCAGGUAACACGAAAUCGUACCCCAAACCGACACAGGUGGUCAGGUAGAGAAUACCAAGGCGCUUGAGAGAACUCGGGUGAAGGAACUAGGCAAAAUGGUGCCGUAACUUCGGGAGAAGGCACGCUGACACGUAGGUGAAGUGAUUUACUCAUGGAGCUGAAGUCAGUCGAAGAUACCAGCUGGCUGCAACUGUUUAUUAAAAACACAGCACUGUGCAAACACGAAAGUGGACGUAUACGGUGUGACGCCUGCCCGGUGCCGGAAGGUUAAUUGAUGGGGUCAGCGCAAGCGAAGCUCCUGAUCGAAGCCCCGGUAAACGGCGGCCGUAACUAUAACGGUCCUAAGGUAGCGAAAUUCCUUGUCGGGUAAGUUCCGACCUGCACGAAUGGCGUAAUGAUGGCCAGGCUGUCUCCACCCGAGACUCAGUGAAAUUGAACUCGCUGUGAAGAUGCAGUGUACCCGCGGCAAGACGGAAAGACCCCGUGAACCUUUACUAUAGCUUGACACUGAACAUUGAGCCUUGAUGUGUAGGAUAGGUGGGAGGCUUUGAAGUGUGGACGCCAGUCUGCAUGGAGCCGACCUUGAAAUACCACCCUUUAAUGUUUGAUGUUCUAACGUGGACCCGUAAUCCGGGUUGCGGACAGUGUCUGGUGGGUAGUUUGACUGGGGCGGUCUCCUCCUAAAGAGUAACGGAGGAGCACGAAGGUUGGCUAAUCCUGGUCGGACAUCAGGAGGUUAGUGCAAUGGCAUAAGCCAGCUUGACUGCGAGCGUGACGGCGCGAGCAGGUGCGAAAGCAGGUCAUAGUGAUCCGGUGGUUCUGAAUGGAAGGGCCAUCGCUCAACGGAUAAAAGGUACUCCGGGGAUAACAGGCUGAUACCGCCCAAGAGUUCAUAUCGACGGCGGUGUUUGGCACCUCGAUGUCGGCUCAUCACAUCCUGGGGCUGAAGUAGGUCCCAAGGGUAUGGCUGUUCGCCAUUUAAAGUGGUACGCGAGCUGGGUUUAGAACGUCGUGAGACAGUUCGGUCCCUAUCUGCCGUGGGCGCUGGAGAACUGAGGGGGGCUGCUCCUAGUACGAGAGGACCGGAGUGGACGCAUCACUGGUGUUCGGGUUGUCAUGCCAAUGGCACUGCCCGGUAGCUAAAUGCGGAAGAGAUAAGUGCUG
This 2134-nucleotide ribosomal RNA is filed under the name Salmonella enterica subsp. enterica serovar Adelaide. RNAcentral describes it as "partial 23S ribosomal RNA". It matches the Rfam family "Bacterial large subunit ribosomal RNA", at positions 743 to 2773 of the family's 2925-position model. Lineage: Bacteria; Pseudomonadati; Pseudomonadota; Gammaproteobacteria; Enterobacterales; Enterobacteriaceae. The record is from RNAcentral.